Molecule: small nucleolar RNA, 137 nt
Filed under: Pavo cristatus (Indian peafowl)
Lineage: Eukaryota; Metazoa; Chordata; Aves; Galliformes; Phasianidae
Description: Small nucleolar RNA SNORA5 (ENSPSTG00000003096.1)
Rfam family: Small nucleolar RNA SNORA5
About the family: ACA5 is a member of the H/ACA class of snoRNA that guide the sites of modification of uridines to pseudouridines.
Source: Rfam by way of RNAcentral
UGCAGCCCUGUCAUAUUCAGUCCCUGCCCUCUCCAUGGCAAGGACCGGCCAUCCAGCUGCCACAGCAGCGCUGUAGUCUGUGUGCCCCACAUCCCUUCCCGUGGGCCCCUGGGGACAAACUGGUGCCACAGGCACGU